Zootermopsis nevadensis is the source of this 1154-nucleotide non-coding RNA. NCBI's taxonomy places the organism in Eukaryota, Metazoa, Arthropoda, Insecta, Blattodea, Termopsidae. The record is from RefSeq and is a predicted model, not a curated record.
UGCAACGGGAGAUGUCAUGCCAAGGUCAUGUCUUAAACUUCUGUAGCAUCCAGCAAAAGCCACAUUCUGGAUUACUGGGUUUCUGGACCUUGUCCAUCGCCUGAUGUCAUAAAACACACAACAUUUCGGGAACUGGAUCUGCCCUCGUCUUCAGAUGCUGAUGGACAACUUGGCGCACAGUAUACCGCUACUCACCACCACACAUGUAUAUAACUAACGCAGUGUAGGUACAUUGCAAGGUGAUUCCAUUUCUUCCCCUGUUCACUCAGAUCCCGAACUCAGCCGAACGCCGUCCUAGCUCGGCUCAGAUGGUCGGAGCUCUGCGCGAGGCAAGUGGGUCAGUCGAGACUGGAUUCAGUCAGAGAAGGAAACCAGAUGAAUUAAAUUAACCAUGUUCCUCUGGUGUAACAGCUACAUUAAAAUUUUCUUAUUGAAUUCAACCUCUGAGGAAGUGUGGGAAAUCGGUUACUGGUGUCGAAUCACGAAGACACCCGAAGAUUGCAAGUUCAGAAAUAAUCUUUCACAAAUUGUGUAAUUUGAAAUAUAUCAGGUUUAGGAUUUCCGACCUGUAAAUAGUAAUAUUGAUUCUCGUGGUCAAAAGACGUCUGCGAUAUUUGACAACUCAGAUACGUUGAUUUGCUUGUGAUUCGGUCUAGAUAUUUGUUCACGUUCUUCUGUGUUGUCCUUUGUAGAUAAAUAUUUUAAACGGAUUCAUCUCCAGUUUAAGAUUUUCAUAACGAAAUCGAGUUGUAUAAUUAAUUUUAUCGAUUAUUUACACUCAGCUGUAUAUCGUAUUACAUGCUAACAGCUGAACAUUCUUGCAGAAAUUAAUCAAUUAUAGUUAUUUUACAUAUCUGCUUAAUUUACAUCUCAUUAUUUCGUUUCGGGGCUAGAUUAUCGUAAAUAUAAAUAAAAUGUAAAUGUUUGCAGCUGUGAAGGAAGUGACCAAGACCUAUUAUACAAGUCUGUGAUUUCUUAGCUUUAAAAUUUGCAAUUUAAAAAGCCAACACGCCAUUAAGUCUAUCAAUUUAUGAGGGCUAUUCAGUUAGAUGCGACAACAGCAUAGGAUGUAAACUGGACCAAGGUAAUACAUUGCAGCGAUGUAAUCACACCUGAUCAUUCUGUGAAUUGAAAAUAAAACAUACGAAAGAUGA